Small nuclear RNA from Anolis carolinensis (green anole), 132 nucleotides. Its record names the gene U1. It matches the Rfam family "U1 spliceosomal RNA". Rfam says of the family: U1 is a small nuclear RNA (snRNA) component of the spliceosome (involved in pre-mRNA splicing). Its 5' end forms complementary base pairs with the 5' splice junction, thus defining the 5' donor site of an intron. The record is from Ensembl. NCBI's taxonomy places the organism in Eukaryota, Metazoa, Chordata, Lepidosauria, Squamata, Anolidae.
AGAUGAAUCAGGUGGUUUUCCCAGGGUGAGGCUCAUCCAUUGCACUCCGGGUGUGCUGACCCCUGCGAUUUCCCCAAAUGCGGGAAACUCGACUGCAUAAUUUGUGCUGGGACCACUUUCCAUCUGGAAAUC